UGGGGAAUAUUGCACAAUGGGCGCAAGUCUGAUGCAGCCAUGCCGCGUGUAUGAAGAAGGCCUUCGGGUUGUAAAGUACUUUCAGCGGGGAGGAAGGGAGUAAAGUUAAUACCUUUGCUCAUUGACGUUACCCGCAGAAGAAGCACCGGCUAACUCCGUGCCAGCAGCCGCGGUAAUACGGAGGGUGCAAGCGUUAAUCGGAAUUACUGGGCGUAAAGCGCACGCAGGCGGUUUGUUAAGUCAGAUGUGAAAUCCCCGGGCUCAACCUGGGAACUGCAUCUGAUACUGGCAAGCUUGAGUCUCGUAGAGGGGGGUAGAAUUCCAGGUGUAGCGGUGAAAUGCGUAGAGAUCUGGAGGAAUACCGGUGGCGAAGGCGGCCCCCUGGACGAAGACUGACGCUCAGGUGCGAAAGCGUGGGGAGCAAACAGG
RNAcentral lists this ribosomal RNA (429 nucleotides) under Chloroflexota bacterium. RNAcentral's name for it is "Chloroflexi bacterium partial 16S ribosomal RNA". It matches the Rfam family "Bacterial small subunit ribosomal RNA", at positions 355 to 776 of the family's 1533-position model. Lineage: Bacteria; Bacillati; Chloroflexota. The record is from RNAcentral.